UCAAAACUAGCAAUUCUAAUACUGUUUCUGAUCAUACAGGGAUGAUGAAAAUUCUUGAAGUAUAUCUGUGGAACCAUUAGAGUAGUACUUCCAGCAAGAGAUAAGAGUAAUGGGAACACGGAAUUACCAGCUGUUGCAAUCAAGACAAGAUACAAAAAGAUGCUGCAGAUUUCUCCAUUCAUUUACAUCUGAAGAUAUGAUCCAUUGCCCAAGCAUGGCAGCUGCAAAGGGGUACUCUUAUACACAAGCUGUGGAUGCUCAAUUUUUGGCUGUAUAUCUACUUGGAAAUGUCCCAUACUGUUUGAUAAGACCCAGAUGGCAACCAGAUGGCUCCAUGUAACUCUUAGGAAGUGCUGCUGCAGACUGAGAGUAAGAAACUGAAGUAAGUCUACAAACAACUCCCUCUCUUUCUCGUGACUUCUAUUAAUAAAGAGUGAAGAUUACCACACUGUAUUCCAUUGUUAAAUAAUGAUAGGACAUUUAGGGGUUUGCAGAUAAUUUUACCACUUCAUGAAUAACAAAAUCACUCUGAUCAAGAGUCUAAGCAUUUUCUUAUGUUGACUUGUUGGCCUAUUUGGUAUACUAUGCACUGUCUAAUUGGAGACAGUCAUAAACUUGAAAUUGAUACCAAAAUCCAGAAAUAUGGAAAUAUUCCAAGACUUUUGGAAUAUAGCAAAUUCUGCUACUGUUGCCCUCUUUCUAAGAGCUCUUCCCUUGACCAUUCGGAGAAAGGUAUGCUCACUUGCACUAACCAACUAACAGAAGAUACAUAGGCAAAUAACAUACAGGCAAACCCAUCUUUUGGUAGUCUUGGCUCUGACACCAAUGACUACGUCUCAAGAGAAUUUCUGAAUAAAUGCUUAUCCCAAAUACAGUGAUGCAAACAGAGAAAUAACUUAGUUGCCCUUUGUUAAUAACAUCCCUUCCAAAACCAAGAAUUACAAAAGAAUUGUAAUAUUUGUUCUACAGUACUUUUCCAGACAUGAUCUGUUUACAAUAAGAAAGAGAAGUUAUGGGACGGUGAUGAUUCACACGAUCACGGUAUUUUCCAGUCACAUGCAAAGGUAAUGAUUAAACUGCUUCUUCCAGUCACACAUCAGGAAGUCAUAGUAGAAUUUGAGCCAUUUUUUUUUCAUUUCUCAACUCCAUUAGCUUCCCAUGCACUUCUGUAAGUCACCACACUCUUCUCUUAACAGGAAAAAAUUCUUAUUAGGCAGAAGGGCUAAAAGAUGAUUUAGCAUAACCUAUAAUACCAGACAUCUUUCUCCCUCUCUCACUCGCUGUUUUAGUUUGCAGUCAAAGAAAAUAUGUUGAUGGGAAGAUUUAGAGAUUUAAAUAAGGGCUGGAAGAUUUAAACAUUGCUAUUCUAAUAUUGCUACAGUGCCAUGAAAAGUUAAUGUACCCUGGUUUCUAGAUCUGUGGAAAUGUUGUGUGCUUACAGGAAUUUCUUUAGGGAAGUUCUUUGAAGAAAUGUGUUUGGCUCUAGGUGGGUUACAUUUUCUCAUCCUACUAGUGCUUCCUAAUGUUGGUCACUAAGUUACUGAGAAGUUUUUGUUUUACCUUAGUUUAGAACCUAUAAUGCAUCCAUCAACUACCACCUCUGCAUUAUAAAAUACAGCAAACUACCUUCAUGGUGAUACCUGACACAAACAUUUCAAAAUCAUUUGAGUGAAGCUUAUUGGAAUCAAAAUGUAUUGUUCUGUGAGAAGUAAAUUAAAUAAUUUUCAGCUCUACAAAGGAUACAUUAUAUUGGUUUGUAAUUAAACACAUCAGACAUCUAUUAAGGAGAAAAACAAUCACACGGGAUAAUGAAUGUGCAUUGAUAGGGGAAUGUAUGUGUGUAUAUGCACAAAGGAAAUUCAGGACAGAGGCAAAAGGAUAGAAGGGAAAUGUCUGUGGUGGCUAACAGAUUUAAAUGCAGGAAAGUACUGCCAUUCAGAAUGAGAAUCGUUUUCUUUUAAAUAUCAAAACUGUUUUCAUGAGAGAAGACCCCAACACAAAUGCAUUCACAGAAGCCUAAAUCAUUUAGUUGAAUGCUAAUGUUUUUAUGAUUUGGUAUUUUGAAACUGUCUAAUCUGUUAAUGAACUCCUGUCUAAAGGUUCCUUUCUUCACUUCACUCUACUAUACAGUGUCAAUAUUCCAUGUUUUAAUGGUUUUUGCCCUGCCUUGAAUAUUUUUUCUCUGAGUGUUUCUCAUUACUAACCAUUCUGAAUUUUAAUUUUUAUGUAGUUUAAGCUGCUCGUACUUAUUAAGAAUGUAAUAAAAUCAGUAAUAGGGAAGAUCCAAAAUAGCUUUGGGAAGUCCCUUCAGAAGAGUUUGUUUUCUGCUUUCAUACUGCCAUCUUCAGUGUAAGUAUUAAAACUACAGUUACUACAUAUCCUUACAUCACGACUUUGUUUUCUUCCAAUAAAAUAUUCUUUUACAUACUCGAAAGUGGGUUUUAAAUACUGCCAAUUUAAAAUAGUUGAACUUUACAAACAAGGAGGCACGUACAUGAAGGAGAAGCAGGUUAUCUGUGCUGACUGUUCUGUACACCGCAGCGUCAUGUUGAACAAACAGCUGUACAUUAAUAUGUUUCAUUGCCUUGUCAUAUAUAUUGUCUAGAAAAAGUAUUUUCAUUUUCAUCAAAGUCCAGAAAAUACUUGAAGCAGGAAUUCUUCGUUUGUUGCCUUCUCCAUCAUGAAGAUUUAUUUGUAGAUCUUUGAUUUCUAUGAUGAGAGGUUUCUAGUUUGUAAACACAGAAAAAUUAUUCCCCUAUAUUUUUACAUAAGUAGAGUAUGCCGUGUUCUUUUUUUGCCACUGUGUUCCAGGAGUAAGGAUCUGCCUCAUGUUACACAGCUUCCACUUUCAAAGUUGACUAUUGAUUUAGAAACUAACAUAACCUGAUUCUCAGAAAGUUUUGAGCUACUUGGUCCCCCAUCAGGCUACCUUUGGGGCAUUCACAGACUGCUGGCUGAGGUGGCCGAGGUGCUGUGAUUUAAUAAAUUACUGGUGAUGAGCUGAACCAUACUGCUCAUGCAGCAAGUUGAAAUAGCUGAUCUUGUAGUAAUAAGGACUCAAUUAUGAUAGCAUGAUAAUGGGCAGGUCAUUAGUAUCUGUCUAAAAGGAUAAAGCUUUGCAGUUCUUGUUUAUCAAAGCUGUAUUUCAUGAUAUAUCUAUCACCUGAAAUACACGAGUCAAUGUAUUCAGAGAUUACCACCUGGAAAAUAUGAAAAAGGACUAUUUUCUGUAGGGCUGCACUGAGUUAACAAGUGCAAAUCAAGAAGCAGCAUUCAUGAACAGACAGUCCCUUGGAAGAAAUAAAGAAACAAAUAAACAAAAAAAGAAGAAAAAACAACAGAAAAAGAAAUCUAAAUCUUUGAUGUUUGCACGACGAGCAUAGUACUGAAUCUUUGUUUAGUUGUGAUUAAGAGCAAUUUAGCUGUAUUAAGAACAAUAAAAGUUUGUGUGCAAGGAAAAGCCACAUUCUAAAAUUAAAAAGAUUGAGAGAUUAAAUCUUGUAAGUUCCCCAAUUAUCUCAGUCAAAUAUAAUGACAGCUAUUGGAGAAUGAUUGUAAUUUUUGUGGUCAUUCUGUCUUUCUAAUAAUAUAAUAUAUGUGCAGAUCUCAUUUUUUUAAUCAGGUUUCCUUCUUCGCUUACGUGAUUCAUGGAUUGACCAUGUGGAACUCAAAUUAUAUUCUUGCUUGUUUAUUUUACUUGUGAUUGUGCUUAAGACAGGCAGAAAAUUCUAACUGAACAUUAAGUAUAUAAUCAAACAAAUCCCCUGACUGAGUGGGCAGGAAUGGCAGAUGGGUUAUGGCAUUGGGAAGUUCCUUCUCAGCUCAAAGAGAAGAAAAAAAAAGAAAGAUUUGCUAACAGACAGACAGCAAGGAACGUUCCAAAAGCUUCCCAAAAGAUUAACCAUUGUUGUACUAAAAAUAUCUGAUGUCAGAUUUCUGGGGAUGGGUCAAAUAUAGGCAU
Tympanuchus pallidicinctus (lesser prairie-chicken) is the source of this 3961-nucleotide long non-coding RNA. RefSeq lists it as uncharacterized. The record is from RefSeq and is a predicted model, not a curated record. The transcript has 3 exons. NCBI's taxonomy places the organism in Eukaryota, Metazoa, Chordata, Aves, Galliformes, Phasianidae.